GUAUCGCCGUCCGAUAGAUGCGAAUGGGUGUAAUAUACUUCGGGCUGGAGAACGCGACAUCCUCGACGCGAUCUCAAGAUACAGAGGAUCGAAACGAUGAGAUUUUGAUUGUUCCUCACUCAUCAUUUCUAAACCAAAAAACAAUCUACGCUUCGUAGAAACGCAUCAUUCCACUCUCCGCACGGGGGUUCGAUUCCCCCCAUCUCCACCA
This 211-nucleotide transfer-messenger RNA is filed under the name Candidatus Nomurabacteria bacterium CG1_02_47_685. RNAcentral describes it as "partial transfer-messenger RNA". It matches the Rfam family "transfer-messenger RNA", at positions 152 to 374 of the family's 374-position model. Rfam says of the family: Bacterial tmRNA, also known as 10Sa RNA or SsrA, is named for its dual tRNA and mRNA-like properties. Lineage: Bacteria; Candidatus Nomuraibacteriota. The record is from RNAcentral.